This 57-nucleotide transfer RNA is filed under the name Cordylochernes scorpioides. Its description in RNAcentral is "tRNA-Thr". The record is from RNAcentral. Lineage: Eukaryota; Metazoa; Arthropoda; Arachnida; Pseudoscorpiones; Chernetidae.
AGUCUAGUGGACAUGGUAUCUGCCCGGUAAGCAGAACAUUGUGGGUUCGAUUCCCAU